CUACGGGGUGCUGCAGUGGGGAAUAUUGCACAAUGGGCGCAAGCCUGAUGCAGCCAUGCCGCGUGUAUGAAGAAGGCCUUCGGGUUGUAAAGUACUUUCAGCGGGGAGGAAGGGAGUAAAGUUAAUACCUUUGCUCAUUGACGUUACCCGCAGAAGAAGCACCGGCUAACUCCGUGCCAGCAGCCGCGGUAAUACGGAGGGUGCAAGCGUUGAUCGGAAUUACUGGGCGUAAAGCGCACGCAGGCGGUUUGUUAAGUCAGAUGUGAAAUCCCCGGGCUCAACCUAGGAACUGCAUCUGAUACUGGCAAGCUUGAGUCUCGUAGAGGGGGGUAGAAUUCCAGGUGUAGCGGUGAAAUGCGUAGAGAUCUGGAGGAAUACCGGUGGCGAAGGCGGCCCCCUGGACGAAGACUGACGCUCAGGUGCGAAAGCGUGGGGAGCAAACAGGAUUAGAUACCGUGUAGUC
RNAcentral lists this ribosomal RNA (463 nucleotides) under uncultured bacterium. RNAcentral's name for it is "partial 16S ribosomal RNA". It matches the Rfam family "Bacterial small subunit ribosomal RNA", at positions 339 to 795 of the family's 1533-position model. The record is from RNAcentral.